CAAGAAAUAGUUUAUUAAAAAUAUUAACUUUGGGAGUUAGUGAUAAAGAGGAUUCUUUUUUCUUGA
Molecule: transfer RNA, 66 nt
Filed under: Culex gelidus
Lineage: Eukaryota; Metazoa; Arthropoda; Insecta; Diptera; Culicidae
Description: tRNA-Pro
Source: RNAcentral